Myzus persicae (green peach aphid) is the source of this 200-nucleotide long non-coding RNA. RefSeq lists it as uncharacterized. The record is from RefSeq and is a predicted model, not a curated record. Lineage: Eukaryota; Metazoa; Arthropoda; Insecta; Hemiptera; Aphididae. The transcript has 3 exons.
AGAAGUUAUAUUGUGAAAAUACUGUAACUGUUUUGUGAAAAAAAAUAUGCCUUCAACGGUAUUCAAGUGUUAUGUUAUGCUUACAGUGCUAGGUAUCUGUAUGACAUUGGUCGAUAAGUCACAGCAAAGUCCAGGACUAGGUGAUUGCUUUGGUGACGAUGAUGGGAAAAACUGUGAAAAAACAAGAAAGAAAGAAGAGA